AGUGGACGCUCGAGGCCGCGCUAGUUGUUGUGAAUGUGAAUCCGUUCUAAUCGGCUUGUGGAGCUCGAUGUGAAGAACGACGACAUCCUGUUUUUAUACUGGACACUCAACGGUAAUCAGUGGUGAAGAUGAUCCAGCGGGGAAAUAGUUAUGUGCAAAACUCCAAAAAUGCUCUAUUCAACUGCACUCUAAAAGGAGAAAGAUGAAAAGGAGUGCAAUGGGGACUAAGUGUGAGGAGAUGUCACUCUCUGUGACUUUAUCUGUGAUUGCUGGGGUAGCAGAUUCCAAGAGCCAUAGACAGUUACCAAACGUCUUACAGAGUGUCUGGCAGUCAGUGGAUACAAGUAGGAAUGUCUAAGUGUAAACAACAAAGGUUUUUCAUUUCUUUUUUUAAUUAAUCUUACUAUAUCUGUAGUCUUCCUAAAGGAAACUGCACAGUGCACACGUGUGUAAUAGAAAUAGAUCAUUUAUUUAUAAAAAUG
Corticium candelabrum is the source of this 482-nucleotide long non-coding RNA. RefSeq lists it as uncharacterized. Lineage: Eukaryota; Metazoa; Porifera; Homoscleromorpha; Homosclerophorida; Plakinidae. The transcript is spliced from 3 exons. The record is from RefSeq and is a predicted model, not a curated record.